UCACACAGGACUGCUGGUAUUAAGCCGGAGGAAGUGGGGACGACGUCAAGUCAGCAUGACCUUUAUAUCCAGGGCUACACACACGCUACAAUGGUCAGUACAAUGGGUUGCCAAGCUGCGAGGCGGAGCCAAUCCUAAAAAGCUGGCCUCAGUUCAGAUUGCAGUCUGAAACUCGACUGCAUGAAGUCGGAGUUGCUAGUAAACGCAGGUCAGCUAUACUGCGUUGAAUACGUUCCCGGGGCUU
Molecule: ribosomal RNA, 244 nt
Filed under: uncultured Anaerolineaceae bacterium
Lineage: Bacteria; Bacillati; Chloroflexota; Anaerolineae; Anaerolineales; Anaerolineaceae
Description: partial 16S ribosomal RNA
Rfam family: Bacterial small subunit ribosomal RNA
Source: RNAcentral